RNAcentral lists this ribosomal RNA (2939 nucleotides) under Priestia megaterium. RNAcentral's name for it is "bacterial LSU rRNA". It matches the Rfam family "Bacterial large subunit ribosomal RNA". The record is from RNAcentral. Lineage: Bacteria; Bacillati; Bacillota; Bacilli; Caryophanales; Bacillaceae. RNAcentral also lists the same sequence under 1 other name.
AUGGUUAAGUUAGAAAGGGCGCACGGUGAAUGCCUUGGCACUAGGAGCCGAUGAAGGACGGGACUAACACCGAUAUGCUUCGGGGAGCUGUAAGUGAGCUUUGAUCCGGAGAUUUCCGAAUGGGGAAACCCACUGUUCGUAAUGGAACAGUAUCUUUAUCUGAAUACAUAGGAUAUUGAAGGCAGACCCGGGGAACUGAAACAUCUAAGUACCCGGAGGAAGAGAAAGCAAAUGCGAUUUCCUGAGUAGCGGCGAGCGAAACGGAAUUAGCCCAAACCAAGAGGCUUGCCUCUUGGGGUUGUAGGACACUCUAUACGGAGUUACAAAGGAACGAAGUAAAUGAAGCGACCUGGAAAGGUCCGUCAAAGAAGGUAACAACCCUGUAGUUGAAACUUCGUUCCCUCUUGAGUGGAUCCUGAGUACGGCGGAACACGUGAAAUUCCGUCGGAAGCUGGGAGGACCAUCUCCCAAGGCUAAAUACUACCUAGUGACCGAUAGUGAACCAGUACCGUGAGGGAAAGGUGAAAAGCACCCCGGAAGGGGAGUGAAAGAGAUCCUGAAACCGUGUGCCUACAAGUAGUCAGAGCCCGUUAAUGGGUGAUGGCGUGCCUUUUGUAGAAUGAACCGGCGAGUUACGAUCCCAUGCAAGGUUAAGCUGAUAAGGCGGAGCCGUAGCGAAAGCGAGUCUGAAUAGGGCGUUUAGUAUGUGGUUGUAGACCCGAAACCAGGUGAUCUACCCAUGUCCAGGGUGAAGUUCAGGUAACACUGAAUGGAGGCCCGAACCCACGCACGUUGAAAAGUGCGGGGAUGAGGUGUGGGUAGCGGAGAAAUUCCAAUCGAACCUGGAGAUAGCUGGUUCUCUCCGAAAUAGCUUUAGGGCUAGCCUCAUGUUGUGAGAGUCUUGGAGGUAGAGCACUGAUUGGACUAGGGGCCCCCAACGGGUUACCGAAUUCAGUCAAACUCCGAAUGCCAAAGACUUAUCCAUGGGAGUCAGACUGCGAGUGAUAAGAUCCGUAGUCAAAAGGGAAACAGCCCAGACCACCAGCUAAGGUCCCCAAGUAUACGUUAAGUGGAAAAGGAUGUGGAGUUGCUUAGACAACCAGGAUGUUGGCUUAGAAGCAGCCACCAUUUAAAGAGUGCGUAAUAGCUCACUGGUCGAGUGACUCUGCGCCGAAAAUGUACCGGGGCUAAACGUAUCACCGAAGCUGUGGAUUGACAUCUUUGAUGUCAGUGGUAGGAGAGCGUUCUAAGUGCUGUGAAGUCAGACCGUAAGGACUGGUGGAGCGCUUAGAAGUGAGAAUGCCGGUAUGAGUAGCGAAAGACAAGUGAGAAUCUUGUCCACCGAAUGCCUAAGGUUUCCUGAGGAAGGCUCGUCCGCUCAGGGUUAGUCGGGACCUAAGCCGAGGCUGAAAAGCGUAGGCGAUGGCCAACAGGUUGAUAUUCCUGUACCACCUCCCCGCCGUUUGAGUAAUGGGGGGACGCAGUAGGAUAGGGUAAGCGCGCUGCUGGAUAUGCGCGUUCAAGCAGUUAGGCUGAUGAGUAGGCAAAUCCGCUCAUCAUAAAGGCUGAGCUGUGAUGACGAGGGAAUUAUAGUACCGAAGUUCCUGAUUCCACACUGCCAAGAAAAGCCUCUAGCGAGGCGGGAGGUGCCCGUACCGCAAACCGACACAGGUAGGCGAGGAGAGAAUCCUAAGGUGAUCGAGAGAACUCUCGUUAAGGAACUCGGCAAAAUGACCCCGUAACUUCGGGAGAAGGGGUGCUCUGGUAGGGUGUAUAGCCCGAGAGAGCCGCAGUGAAUAGGCCCAGGCGACUGUUUAGCAAAAACACAGGUCUCUGCGAAGCCGCAAGGCGAAGUAUAGGGGCUGACGCCUGCCCGGUGCUGGAAGGUUAAGAGGAGGGGUUAUCCUUUGGGAGAAGCUCUGAAUCGAAGCCCCAGUAAACGGCGGCCGUAACUAUAACGGUCCUAAGGUAGCGAAAUUCCUUGUCGGGUAAGUUCCGACCCGCACGAAAGGCGUAACGAUCUGGGCACUGUCUCAACGAGAGACUCGGUGAAAUUAUAGUACCUGUGAAGAUGCAGGUUACCCGCGACAGGACGGAAAGACCCCGUGGAGCUUUACUGUAGCCUGAUAUUGAAUUUUGGUACAGCUUGUACAGGAUAGGUAGGAGCCUAAGAAGCCGGAGCGCUAGCUUCGGUGGAGGCGUCGGUGGGAUACUACCCUGGCUGUAUUGAAAUUCUAACCCGCGGCCCUGAUCGGGCCGGGAGACAGUGUCAGGUGGGCAGUUUGACUGGGGCGGUCGCCUCCUAAAAUGUAACGGAGGCGCCCAAAGGUUCCCUCAGAAUGGUUGGAAAUCAUUCGUAGAGUGUAAAGGCACAAGGGAGCUUGACUGCGAGACCUACAAGUCGAGCAGGGACGAAAGUCGGGCUUAGUGAUCCGGUGGUUCCGCAUGGAAGGGCCAUCGCUCAACGGAUAAAAGCUACCCCGGGGAUAACAGGCUUAUCUCCCCCAAGAGUCCACAUCGACGGGGAGGUUUGGCACCUCGAUGUCGGCUCAUCGCAUCCUGGGGCUGUAGUCGGUCCCAAGGGUUGGGCUGUUCGCCCAUUAAAGCGGUACGCGAGCUGGGUUCAGAACGUCGUGAGACAGUUCGGUCCCUAUCCGUCGUGGGCGUAGGAAAUUUGAGAGGAGCUGUCCUUAGUACGAGAGGACCGGGAUGGACACACCGCUGGUGUACCAGUUGUCUUGCCAAAGGCAUCGCUGGGUAGCUAUGUGUGGACGGGAUAAGUGCUGAAAGCAUCUAAGCAUGAAGCCCCCCUCAAGAUGAGAUUUCCCAUAGCGCAAGCUAGUAAGAUCCCUGAAAGAUGAUCAGGUUGAUAGGUCAGAGGUGGAAGCGUGGCGACAUGUGUAGCUGACUGAUACUAAUCGAUCGAGGACUUAACCAAA